RNAcentral lists this ribosomal RNA (483 nucleotides) under uncultured bacterium. RNAcentral's name for it is "partial 16S ribosomal RNA". It matches the Rfam family "Bacterial small subunit ribosomal RNA", at positions 28 to 507 of the family's 1533-position model. The record is from RNAcentral.
GACGAACGCUGGCGGCGUGCUUAACACAUGCAAGUCGAACGCUGAAGCUCAGCUUUUGUUGGGUGGAUGAGUGGUGAACGGGUGAGUAACACGUGAGUAACCUGCCCCCUUCUUUGGGAUAACGCCCGGAAACGGGUGCUAAUACUGGAUAUUCACUGGUCUUCGCAUGGGGGUUGGUGGAAAGGGUUUUUCUGGUGGGGGAUGGGCUCGCGGCCUAUCAGCUUGUUGGUGGGGUGAUGGCCUACCAAGGCUUUGACGGGUAGCCGGCCUGAGAGGGUGACCGGUCACAUUGGGACUGAGAUACGGCCCAGACUCCUACGGGAGGCAGCAGUGGGGAAUAUUGCACAAUGGGCGCAAGCCUGAUGCAGCGACGCCGCGUGAGGGAUGGAGGCCUUCGGGUUGUGAACCUCUUUCGCUCAUGGUCAAGCCGCAACAAUGGUUAUGGUGAGGGUAGUGGGUAAAGAAGCGCCGGCUAACUACGUG